CAGUCGCCGCGGGAAUACGAACCGUGCGAACGUUAUUCGGAAUUACUGGGCUUAAAGCGCGUGUAGGCGGGUCGGCACGUCGGUCGCUGAAAUCCCCCGGCUCAACCGGGGAAGUGGCGCCGAUACGGCCGGCCUGGAGGGGGUAGGGGGGCCUGGAACUUCCGGUGGAGCGGUGAAAUGCGUUGAGAUCGGAAAGAACACCAACGGCGAAAGCACUCUGCUGGGCCGACACUGACACUGAGAGACGAAAGCUAGGGGAGCAAAUGGGAUUAGAUACCCCGGUAGUCCCUGUCUCUUAUAC
RNAcentral lists this ribosomal RNA (301 nucleotides) under uncultured bacterium. Its description in RNAcentral is "partial 16S ribosomal RNA". It matches the Rfam family "Bacterial small subunit ribosomal RNA", at positions 509 to 807 of the family's 1533-position model. The record is from RNAcentral.